Molecule: ribosomal RNA, 253 nt
Filed under: uncultured bacterium
Lineage: Bacteria
Description: partial 16S ribosomal RNA
Rfam family: Bacterial small subunit ribosomal RNA
Source: RNAcentral
GACGGAGGAUGCAAGUGUUAUCCGGAAUCACUGGGCGUAAAGCGUCUGUAGGUGGUUUAAUAAGUCAACUGUUAAAUCUUGAGGCUCAACCUCAAAAUCGCAGUCGAAACUAUUAGGCUAGAGUAUAGUAGGGGUAAAGGGAAUUUCCAGUGGAGCGGUGAAAUGCGUAGAGAUCAGGAAGAACAUCGGUGGCGAAGGCGCUCUGCUGGACCAUAACUGACACUCAGGGACGAAAGCUAGGGGAGCGAAUGGG